CGGGUGAGUAAUGUAUCGGAACGUACCUUUCAGUGGGGAUAACGUAGCGAAAGUUACGCUAAUACCGCAUAUUCUGUGCGCAGGAAAGCAGGGGAUCGCAAGACCUUGCGCUGAUUGAGCGGCCGAUAUCAGAUUAGCUAGUUGGUGAGGUAAAGGCUCACCAAGGCGACGAUCUGUAGCGGGUCUGAGAGGAUGAUCGGCCACACUGGAACUGAGACACGGUCCAGACUCCUACGGGAGGCAGCAGUGGGGAAUAUUGGACAAUGGGGGAAACCCUGAUCCAGCAACGCCGCGUGGAGGAUGAAGGUCUUCGGAUUGUAAACUCCUGUUAGGGGGGACGAAGGGAUGCCGGCGAAUAGUCGGCAAACUUGACGGUACCCCCAGAGGAAGCCCCGGCUAACUCUGUGCCAGCAGCCGCGGUAAUACAGAGGGGGGCAAGCGUUAUUCGGAA
Molecule: ribosomal RNA, 451 nt
Filed under: uncultured bacterium
Lineage: Bacteria
Description: bacterial SSU rRNA
Rfam family: Bacterial small subunit ribosomal RNA
Source: RNAcentral